Non-coding RNA from Acanthosepion pharaonis, 107 nucleotides. The record is from the annotation of a GenBank genome assembly. NCBI's taxonomy places the organism in Eukaryota, Metazoa, Mollusca, Cephalopoda, Sepiida, Sepiidae.
CCACAUCAUGUUGAAACACUGGUUCCCUUAUAAUCACUGAAGUUAAGCAACAUUGAGCCUGGUCAGUACAUAGAUGGGUGGCUGAUUCAGAAUACCAAGUGCUGUAA